This 744-nucleotide long non-coding RNA is filed under the name Mustela putorius furo (domestic ferret). RNAcentral describes it as "lncRNA (ENSMPUG00000023858.1)". The record is from RNAcentral. Lineage: Eukaryota; Metazoa; Chordata; Mammalia; Carnivora; Mustelidae.
GGGAAUGAACAGGGCAGCCUCCUAAUCCCCGGCCAGAGGAGCCAAGAACUCAGGGCCACACUCCUCAGUGCACCCUCGGAGAAAAGCGGUCAGUCCCUUCUGUCUCCCUGGUCUCCGGCCAGGGUCCGAGCUCACCUGGCCUGUGACCGAGUGCUUCUGACUCUGGUGCACAGCCUCAUUUGGAGUCUCCAAACCCAGCAGAUUCCUGCAACUCUGCUCUUCGGCCAAGGAAUGUGGGUCUCCCUGGAUCUGCCACUUGUGGGGUGCCUGCUCAAAAAGCAGUGGUCUGACUGUGCCACGGGUCACAGUUUAAGAGAUUUUUAUUUACUCAUUUGGAAGAGAGAGAGAGCCGGGAGAGGGCCGUGGGGAGGAGAAGCAGCUCCCACUGAGCAGGGAGCCCGAUGUGCGGCUCCCCAGCGCCCUGAGAUCAUGACCUGAGCUGACGGCAGACGCUUCACCAACUGAGCCACCCGGGUGCCCCUUCAUAAUUUCUGUAACAACUCACACUUAUCAUUCAGGUUAGGGUCUUUCACUGAGGAGCUAGUCCCUAAUGCAGAUUCAAUUUCCAAGCAAAAUUUCCUGAGGCACAGUACGCAUUUUAUGUUAACCAAAUAGUGGAUACUGUGUAAUAGGUUUCCGAGCCCCUCCACCAAACUGUGAUUUUACUGACAAAAAUAAAUAUUAAGCCUGGCUGGCUCUUCAAAACUUCACUGUUGUUUUCAAUUUGAUUCUAUUUGCAAAAGA